GAUGAACGCUAGCUACAGGCUUAACACAUGCAAGUCGAGGGGAAACGAUAUUGGAAGCUUGCUUCCGAUAGGCGUCGACCGGCGCACGGGUGAGUAACGCGUAUCCAACCUGCCCAUCACUUGGGAAUAACCUUGCGAAAGUAAGACUAAUGCCCAAUGACAUUUAUAGAAGGCAUCGGAAAUGAAUUAAAGAUUUAUCGGUGAUGGAUGGGGAUGCGUCUGAUUAGCUUGUUGGCGGGGUAACGGCCCACCAAGGCGACGAUCAGUAGGGGUUCUGAGAGGAAGGUCCCCCACAUUGGAACUGAGACACGGUCCAAACUCCUACGGGAGGCAGCAGUGAGGAAUAUUGGUCAAUGGGCGAGAGCCUGAACCAGCCAAGUAGCGUGCAGGAAGACGGCCCUAUGGGUUGUAAACUGCUUUUAUAGGGGAAUAAAGUGAGCCACGUGUGGUUUUUUGCAUGUACCCUAUGAAUAAGGACCGGCUAAUUCCGUGCCAGCAGCCGCGGUAAUACGGAAGGUCCGGGCGUUAUCCGGAUUUAUUGGGUUUAAAGGGAGCGUAGGCCGGAGAUUAAGCGUGUUGUGAAAUGUAGACGCUCAACGUCUGCACUGCAGCGCGAACUGGUUUCCUUGAGUACGCAUAAAGUGGGCGGAAUUCGUGGUGUAGCGGUGAAAUGCUUAGAUAUCACGAAGAACUCCGAUUGCGAAGGCAGCUCACUGGGGCGCAACUGACGCUGAAGCUCGAAAGCGCGGGUAUCGAACAGG
This 761-nucleotide ribosomal RNA is filed under the name uncultured bacterium. RNAcentral's name for it is "bacterial SSU rRNA". It matches the Rfam family "Bacterial small subunit ribosomal RNA", at positions 28 to 776 of the family's 1533-position model. The record is from RNAcentral.